GCUGUGAGGCAUGCUGGAGGUAUCAGAAGUGCGAAUGCUGACAUAAGUAACGAUAAAGCGGGUGAAAAGCCCGCUCGCCGGAAGACCAAGGGUUCCUGUCCAACGUUAAUCGGGGCAGGGUGAGUCGACCCCUAAGGCGAGGCCGAAAGGCGUAGUCGAUGGGAAACAGGUUAAUAUUCCUGUACUUGGUGUUACUGCGAAGGGGGGACGGAGAAGGCUAUGUUAGCCGGGCGACGGUUGUCCCGGUUUAAGCAUGUAGGCUGGU
This 265-nucleotide ribosomal RNA is filed under the name Klebsiella pneumoniae. Its description in RNAcentral is "partial 23S ribosomal RNA". It matches the Rfam family "Bacterial large subunit ribosomal RNA", at positions 1260 to 1529 of the family's 2925-position model. The record is from RNAcentral. Lineage: Bacteria; Pseudomonadati; Pseudomonadota; Gammaproteobacteria; Enterobacterales; Enterobacteriaceae.